CUGUAUAGACGUAGAAAAUUUGAUCCCAAAUUCUCCGGCGACGGAGCUCUUUCCCUUUCUGUAUAAAUCCACUAACUGAAAGAGCUCCUUUUUCCUUUUUUAGUGUAUAAUAAAGCUAAGGGUUUUAGGUUUCACCGCAGAGCCAUGUCUGCUAUCAACCGAUCUUCCAGCACUCCGUUGAAGAACGGCGGCCUCCCUCCUCAAGAGCUUCUUGACGAUCUCUGCAGUCGGUUUGUUUUGAAUGUACCAAAAGAAGAUCAACAGUCAUUUGAGAGAAUUUUAUUCCUCGUCGAGUAUGCGCAUUGGUUCUAUGAAGACAAUUCAGUGGAAAAGAAUCCCUCACUGAAGUCAUUCAAUCUAAAGGAAUUCACAUCCUUAUUGUUUAACAGUUGUGACGUUUUGAGACCUUAUGUUGCUCACAUCGAUGACAUAUUUAAAGACUUCACUUCAUACAAGGUUCGAGUUCCUGUAACUGGAGCAAUCAUUUUGGAUGAAACCUUUGAAAGGUGCCUGCUAGUGAAGGGUUGGAAAGGGACGAGCUGGAGUUUUCCACGGGGCAAAAAGAACAAAGAUGAGGAAGACCAUGCAUGUGCCAUCAGAGAAGUUUUGGAGGAAACAGGUUUUGACGUUUCAAACCUUCUCAACAAAGAGGAAUGCAUUGAAGAGAUGUUUGGACAGCAGAGGGUGAAGCUUUACAUUAUUGCUGGCGUGAAGGAUGACACUGCCUUUGCACCACUUACGAAAAAGGAGAUCAGUGAAAUUGCAUGGCAACGACUUGAUGAACUGCAGCCAGCAAGUGAUGCUGUAAUAUCUCGUGGGAUCACUGGCCUCAAGCUUUACAUGGUUGCCCCAUUUUUAGAGUCCUUGAAAUUGUGGAUUUCAAAGCAUCAGCCCCCUGUAGCUCCAAGACCUGAUAUGCCUAUCAAAGGCAUGUGUGUGUGGAAAGCCAAGAACACUUCCAUAGGGAGUGGCACUAGCACAACAAUAGUUGAUACCCAAUCAACUAAGCCUGGAACUGAUGCUCAUCCUCCUGAUGCUGGCCCUGGCAAAAGCUUUAGAAAUUUUAGAUUUGACACUGCUGGAAUCUUGCGAGCAAUGGAAGCUGGGUUUUCUUCCUGACGAUUGGCAAUGGUAACUCUUUGUAGAUGCUCCAUGGUUACAUAGAUGGGUUAGUGUUUCUUAUGUAUCACCAAGCAGCGGUAAUCAACUUCAUGUCAACUAGCUGUGCUUGAUGUAUAUGAAUUGUGUCGGUAUUUGGCGGUUGGGUUUAGUGUAUAUCCUGUACAGAAGCCCUUUUUGUGUCAGAGUGUUUUUGUCAAAUUUUCUUAGUACAUUGCACUGAACUGCAGAUCCUUUUGCCACAAAAGCCAAGUGACUUGCUAUUGGCUGUUGUCCUUGUCUCUGGGUUUAGAUUCUCAAUCAUGUGUAAGAGUACUAUGUCAUCAGUAAACCUAUUGUUGUGUUGCUUCUUUAUUCACUUUUAGUCUUUCUUUUUUUCAAGAAAAAACAAAAGCUGAAGUUAGUGAAAUUUGUGAGGCAAAAAUGUGGGAUGCCUGGAGAACUGGUGGUGUGGUUUUGGCCUUAGCUGGGUUUAGUGAUUUUGUUGCACUGUGAUUUCCAGGCAUUGCUGUAUUUUGAACUCGCUGUAAUGAGCCGUAUGAAGGUUCUGUUCGACAACUUUUAAGGUUCUAAUUUCCUAGAACACGAACUUUGCAGAGAGAGAGGAGAAAUUUGCAGAGAGAGAGGAGAAAAUUUGAGAAGGUUUUCAUUACCAAGCUUCUCCAUGACAAGGACCACUGCCAUUGACAAGGACAAGGGCACCAAGCUCACAGUCACAGCUGAGGAAUUUUUCACACACUGGC
RNAcentral lists this unclassified non-coding RNA (1862 nucleotides) under Hevea brasiliensis (rubber tree). Lineage: Eukaryota; Viridiplantae; Streptophyta; Magnoliopsida; Malpighiales; Euphorbiaceae. The record is from RNAcentral.